This 688-nucleotide ribosomal RNA is filed under the name uncultured fungus. RNAcentral's name for it is "eukaryotic LSU rRNA". It matches the Rfam family "Eukaryotic large subunit ribosomal RNA", at positions 24 to 664 of the family's 3401-position model. The record is from RNAcentral. Lineage: Eukaryota; Fungi.
CCCGCUGAACUUAAGCAUAUUACUCAGCGGAGGAAAAGAAAACAACCGUGAUUCCCUCAGUCAGCGGCGAGCGAAGAGGGACCAAACUCGAUGCCGAAUCGGGGCUGAACGCCCUUGAGUUGUGGCAUUUGCCGUGAUUGUGGCGGCGGACUGGCAAAGUUCAAGCGCAAAGCAAACCCAUUGCUGAAAACUACCCUUCAUUUGAGUAUUGAGCCAUAGAAGGUGUUAGCCCAUUUGAGCCAGAAACCGUCCGUUACAAGAAGCGGUACAAGAGAGUAGCACUGUUUGGGAGUGCAGUGUUAAGCGGCAGGUAUGGGUCUGCCAAGGUUAAAUACAAAGUGGGAAGACCGAUAGCAAACAAGUAGCGUGAGCGAAAGUUUGAAAAGUACUUUGGAAAGAGAGUGACAUAGAACCUGAAGUCGUGACAACGAUAAUGGACGUACCUCCAUUUUAUCUGCCAAAACCAGCCUCGAGGCAUUGAACGCAUACAGAACUAAACGACUGUGUGUGCCAACAAGUGCAAAAAGAGGUGUGGGUAAAUCGAGCGGAGAAAUAAGUGUCAGGCACUGCCGUGCUCGGCUCGGAAAGGGUCGUUGUGCGUCCAGCAAGUUUGGUACUUCUCCGUGGUAGCUCGAUGUUGGCAAACACAAAGUGGAAAUGGGGUACUUUCACCCGUCUUGAAACACGG